UUUAACGGCCGCGGUAUUUUGACCGUGCGAAGGUAGCGUAAUCACCUGUCUUUUAAAUGGAGACCUGUAUGAAUGGCAAAACGAGGGCUUAACUGUCUCCUCUAUCCAGUCAAUGAAAUUGAUCUCCCCGUGAAGAAGCGGGGAUAAGAACAUAAGACGAGAAGACCCUAUGGAGCUUUAGAUUUCAGGGUAGCCUAUAUCAAUAAGCCUAACUCACCCGGCAUAAGUAUUAUACACCCUAUCCUGUGUCUUUGGUUGGGGCGACCGCGGAGAAGAAAAAAACCCCCGCGCGGAACAGGAACAUAAUGUUCUUUCAACUAAGGGCCCCUGCUCUAAUUAACAGAAUUUUUGACCACAAGGAUCCGGCAAAGCCGAUCAACGGACCUAGUUACCCUAGGGAUAACAGCGCAAUCCCCUUUGAGAGACCCUAUCGACAGGGGGGUUUACGACCUCGAUGUUGGAUCAGGACCACCUAAUGGUG
Molecule: ribosomal RNA, 481 nt
Filed under: Linophryne bicornis
Lineage: Eukaryota; Metazoa; Chordata; Actinopteri; Lophiiformes; Linophrynidae
Description: partial 16S ribosomal RNA
Rfam family: Bacterial large subunit ribosomal RNA
Source: RNAcentral